UCAAUACUCCCUCCGAUCCAAAUUACAUGUCGCAGCUUUGUGUCGAUACGCGUGUAUCUAGACGCAUUUCAUUAGAUAGAUACAUGCGAAUCUAGACAAAUCUACGACAAAUAAUUUGAAUCGGAGGGAGUACCAG
Brachypodium distachyon (stiff brome) is the source of this 136-nucleotide non-coding RNA. NCBI's taxonomy places the organism in Eukaryota, Viridiplantae, Streptophyta, Magnoliopsida, Poales, Poaceae. The record is from Rfam.